RNAcentral lists this ribosomal RNA (274 nucleotides) under uncultured Lysobacterales bacterium. RNAcentral's name for it is "uncultured Xanthomonadales bacterium partial 16S ribosomal RNA". It matches the Rfam family "Bacterial small subunit ribosomal RNA", at positions 504 to 777 of the family's 1533-position model. Lineage: Bacteria; Pseudomonadati; Pseudomonadota; Gammaproteobacteria; Lysobacterales. The record is from RNAcentral.
UGUGCCAGCAGCCGCGGUAAUACGAAGGGUGCAAGCGUUACUCGGAAUUACUGGGCGUAAAGCGUGCGUAGGUGGUUCGUUAAGUCUGAUGUGAAAGCCCUGGGCUCAACCUGGGAACUGCAUUGGAUACUGGCGAUCUGGAGUGCGGUAGAGGGUAGCGGAAUUCCCGGUGUAGCAGUGAAAUGCGUAGAUAUCGGGAGGAACAUCCGUGGCGAAGGCGGCUACCUGAACCAGCACUGACACUGAGGCACGAAAGCGUGGGGAGCAAACAGGA